Molecule: ribosomal RNA, 1423 nt
Filed under: metagenome
Description: bacterial SSU rRNA
Rfam family: Bacterial small subunit ribosomal RNA
Source: RNAcentral
UGUAGCAAUACAUCGAAAGUGGCGAACGGGUGAGUAACACGUAAGUAAUCUACCUCUAGGAUUGGGAUAACCUUGCCAACGCGAGGCUAAUACCGGAUGUGAUCAUAGAAACGCAUGUUUUUAUGAUUAAAGAUGCAAAUCGCUAGAGAUGAGCUUGCGGCCCAUUAUGCUAGUUGGCGGGGUAAUGGCCCACCAAGGCUGCGAUGGGUAGCCGGCCUGAGAGGGUGUACGGCCACAUUGGGACUGAGAUACGGCCCAGACUCCUACGGGAGGCAGCAGUAGGGAAUUUUGCGCAAUGGACGAAAGUCUGACGCAGCAACGCCGCGUGAAGGAUGAAGGUUCUCGGAUUGUAAACUUCUGUUAAGUGGGAAGAAAAGCUCGCAAGAGUAUGACGGUACCACUUGAGUAAGCACCGGCUAACUACGUGCCAGCAGCCGCGGUAAUACGUAGGGUGCAAGCGUUGUUCGGAAUUACUGGGCGUAAAGAGAGCGUAGGUGGGAUUGUAAGUUAGAAGUUUAAUCUAUGGGCUUAACCCAUAAUCUGCUUUUAAUACUGCAGUUCUUGAGUAUGGGAGAGGGUGAUGGAAUUCCAGGUGUAGCGGUGGAAUGCGUAGAUAUCUGGAAGAACACCAGUAGCGAAGGCGGUCGCCUGGCCCAAUACUGACACUGAGGCUCGAAAGCUAGGGGAGCAAACAGGAUUAGAUACCCUGGUAGUCCUAGCCGUAAACGAUGAACACUAGUUGCUGGAGGAGUCAAUCUCUUCAGUGACGAAGCUAACGCAUUAAGUGUUCCGCCUGGGAAGUACGGUCGCAAGACUGAAACUCAAAGGAAUUGACGGGGGCCCGCACAAGCGGUGGAGCAUGUGCUUUAAUUCGAUGCAACGCGAAGAACCUUACCUGGGUUUGACAUGGGAAUGAAAGAGUUCAGAGAUGGAUUCCCUUCCGCAAGGAACAUUCUACACAGGUGCUGCAUGGUUGUCGUCAGCUCGUGUCGUGAGAUGUUGUGUUAAGUCCCGCAACGAGCGCAACCCUCGCCCUUAGUUGCCAUCAGGUUAUGCUGGGAACUCUAAGGGGACCGCCUAGUUUAACUAGGAGGAAGGUGGGGAUGACGUCAAAUCAUCAUGGCCCUUAUGUCCAGGGCUAGACACGUGCUACAAUGGUCGGUACAACGGGGUGCAAGACGGUGACGUCAAGCUAAUCUCUUAAAACCGAUCUCAGUACGGAUUGAAGUCUGCAAUUCGACUUCAUGAAGCUGGAAUCGCUAGUAAUCGCGGAUCAGCAUGCCGCGGUGAAUACGUUCCCGGGCCUUGUACACACCGCCCGUCAAGCCAUGAAAGAUGGUAGUACCCGAAGUCGCUUCUCUAACCGCAAGGAAGAGUGCGCCGAGGGUAAGACUGUUGAUUGGGGCUAAGUCGAAACAAGGUA